CCUACGGGAGGCAGCAGUAGGGAAUAUUGCUCAAUGGGGGAAACCCUGAAGCAGCAACGCCGCGUGGAGGAUGAAGGUUUUCGGAUUGUAAACUCCUUUUGUUAGAGAAGAUAAUGACGGUAUCUAACGAAUAAGCACCGGCUAACUCCUUGCCAGCAGCCGCGGUCAUACGGAGGGUGCAAGCGUUACUCGGAAUCACUGGGCGUAAAGAGCGCGGAGGCGGGAUAGCAAGUCAGAUGUGAAAUCCUAUGGCUUAACCAUAGAACUGCAUUUGAAACUGUUAUUCUAGAGUAUGGGAGAGGAAGGUGGAAUUCUUGGUGUAGGGGUAAAAUCCGUAGAGAUAAAGAGGAAUACUCAUGGCGAAGGCGACCUGCUAGAACAUAACUGACGCUGAUGCGCGAAAGCGUGGGGAGCAAACAGGAUUAGAUACCCCAGUAGUC
Molecule: ribosomal RNA, 440 nt
Filed under: uncultured bacterium
Lineage: Bacteria
Description: partial 16S ribosomal RNA
Rfam family: Bacterial small subunit ribosomal RNA
Source: RNAcentral